GAUGAACGCUGGCGGCGUGCUUAACACAUGCAAGUCGAACGAGCCUUCGGGCUAGUGGCGGACGGGUGAGUAACGCGUGGGAAUCUGCCCUCAGGAGGGGGAUAACGGCCGGAAACGGCCGCUAAUACCCCAUAUGCCGAGAGGUGAAAUGAAUUUCGCCUGAGGAUGAGCCCGCGUCUGAUUAGCUAGUUGGUGGGGUAAUGGCCCACCAAGGCGACGAUCAGUAGCUGGUCUGAGAGGAUGAUCAGCCACACUGGGACUGAGACACGGCCCAGACUCCUACGGGAGGCAGCAGUGGGGAAUUUUCCGCAAUGGGCGAAAGCCUGACGGAGCAACGCCGCGUGAGGGAUGAAGGCCUCUGGGCUGUAAACCUCUUUUCUCAAGGAAGAAGACAUGACGGUACUUGAGGAAUAAGCCACGGCUAAUUCCGUGCCAGCAGCCGCGGUAAUACGGGAGUGGCAAGCGUUAUCCGGAAUUAUU
RNAcentral lists this ribosomal RNA (480 nucleotides) under uncultured cyanobacterium. Its description in RNAcentral is "bacterial SSU rRNA". It matches the Rfam family "Bacterial small subunit ribosomal RNA", at positions 28 to 555 of the family's 1533-position model. Lineage: Bacteria; Bacillati; Cyanobacteriota. The record is from RNAcentral.